This is a non-coding RNA of Methanofollis liminatans DSM 4140, 73 nucleotides long. The record is from Rfam. NCBI's taxonomy places the organism in Archaea, Methanobacteriati, Methanobacteriota, Methanomicrobia, Methanomicrobiales, Methanomicrobiaceae.
GCCGCCAUAACUCAGUUGGUAGAGUGGCUGGCUGUUAACCAGCAUGCCACAGGUUCGAGUCCUGUUGGCGGCG